This 719-nucleotide ribosomal RNA is filed under the name Austrochloritis kanangra. RNAcentral describes it as "partial large subunit ribosomal RNA". The stretch from base 320 to 473 matches the Rfam family "Archaeal large subunit ribosomal RNA", at positions 1885 to 2088 of the family's 2987-position model. The record is from RNAcentral. Lineage: Eukaryota; Metazoa; Mollusca; Gastropoda; Stylommatophora; Camaenidae.
AUUAUUAUAUAUUUAUAGAUGAUGAGGUGUUGCAUAACGUAAGCAAUAAUAAUUAGGGGUGAUAGGCUUCUCAACUUCAAUGAUAGCUUGAUAAUCAUAAAAUGUAAGAGUACAAAAACACUUUUAGAAUGAUAAGGUUUUAAAGGUAAAAUAAUGUACUUAGAUUAAAAAAUGCUCUGUUUAAUCACUAGCAUACUUAUAAUAUAUAAUAUAUUAAGUGUGGUUGUUUUAAUUACUGAUUAAUACAUCAACAAUGUGCGUCUAUGAAUAAUGUUGAUAUUAGUAUUAUUAAGUACAAAACAUGAACUCGGCAAUAAGUCUUUUAACUGUUUAUCAAAAACAUAGCUACAUGCAUUUAUAUGUGGUAAUUUCUGCUCAAUGAAUUUUAAAUAGCCGCAGUACUCUGACUGUGCUAAGGUAGCGCAAUCAAUUGGCUUUUAAAUGGAGUCCUGUAUGAAAGAAAACAUAAAGGGCUACUUUAUUUUUUGUAAUUGCUGAACUUACUUAAAAAGUGCAAAUUCUUUUAGAAAAACAAUAGACGAGAAGACCCUAGAAAUUUUACAGAGUCAGUCUUUUUGUUGGGGCAACAAAGUAGCAAUAUAACCUACUAAAAUUACAUGAAAAAUAUCUUUUGUAAGAUUAAAUUACUCUAGGGAUAACAGCAUAAUUUGCAAAAGUUUGUGACCUCGAUGUUGGAUUAGGGUAUUAACAUUUAAAAG